This is a long non-coding RNA of Gadus morhua (Atlantic cod), 310 nucleotides long. RefSeq lists it as uncharacterized. The transcript is spliced from 2 exons. Lineage: Eukaryota; Metazoa; Chordata; Actinopteri; Gadiformes; Gadidae. The record is from RefSeq and is a predicted model, not a curated record.
AUUUCAUUUGAAUUGAAUGCUUUAAAUUUGUGUUUCAUCCAGACUUUUAUUUUGACGUUGUAUUUUCGAGCUGCACAGGAAGCAGGAAGGAAAAUAGUUUAGAUCACGUUAGAAUGCGCGCGUAGAAAACGUUAGAAACGGCAGGUUGAUUGGGAGUGCAGACUGUCACUACCCCAGAGAAAGGCUUCUUGCAUGUUGGUUCCCCAGCAGAGGCAUCGCUUUUUCACUCUCUUUCAUCUUUUGAUCUCUUGAUCUUAUCUACAUGGAUUCAAUACAAUGUGAAGAAUGAAAAUAAAUCUACAAACAAGAA